This 89-nucleotide transfer RNA is filed under the name bacterium. Its description in RNAcentral is "tRNA-Leu". It matches the Rfam family "tRNA". From Rfam's summary of the family: Transfer RNA (tRNA) molecules are approximately 80 nucleotides in length. Their secondary structure includes four short double-helical elements and three loops (D, anti-codon, and T loops). The record is from RNAcentral.
GCCGAGGUGGCGGAAUAGGUAGACGCACAGGUCUUAAAAUCCUGAGAGGAGAAAUCCUCAUGUGGGUUCGAGUCCCACCCUCGGCACCA